UGUGUGUGCGGUUCUUGGGGGCUUUUCCCCGAGGAGGGCAGCCCUUCUCCCUCCUCGGGGAAAAGCCCCAAAGAGCCGCACAUACG
Podarcis lilfordi (Lilford's wall lizard) is the source of this 86-nucleotide non-coding RNA. The record is from the annotation of a GenBank genome assembly. Lineage: Eukaryota; Metazoa; Chordata; Lepidosauria; Squamata; Lacertidae.